UACGUAGGGGGCAAGCGUUAUCCGGAUUUACUGGGUGUAAAGGGGGCGCAGACGGCGGCGCAAGCCAGGAGUGAAAGCCCGGGGCCCAACCCCGGGACUGCUCUUGGAACUGCGCGGCUGGAGUGCAGGAGGGGCAGGCGGAAUUCCUGGUGUAGCGGUGAAAUGCGUAGAUAUCAGGAGGAACACCGGUGGCGAAGGCGGCCUGCUGGACUGCGACUGACGUUGAGGCCCGAAAGCGUGGGGAGCAAACAGG
RNAcentral lists this ribosomal RNA (253 nucleotides) under uncultured bacterium. RNAcentral describes it as "partial 16S ribosomal RNA". It matches the Rfam family "Bacterial small subunit ribosomal RNA", at positions 524 to 776 of the family's 1533-position model. The record is from RNAcentral.